This 492-nucleotide ribosomal RNA is filed under the name uncultured bacterium. Its description in RNAcentral is "bacterial SSU rRNA". It matches the Rfam family "Bacterial small subunit ribosomal RNA", at positions 28 to 511 of the family's 1533-position model. The record is from RNAcentral.
GAUGAACGCUAGCGGCAGGCCUAACACAUGCAAGUCGAGGGGCAGCGGGAAAAAGCUUGCUUUUUUGCCGGCGACCGGCGCACGGGUGCGUAACGCGUAUACAAUUUGCCUUAUACAGGGAGAUAGCCCGGAGAAAUUCGGAUUAAUAUCCCAUAAUAUUGUGUAAUCGCCUGAUUAUAUAAUUAAAGCUACGGCGGUAUAAGAUGAGUAUGCGUCUGAUUAGCUAGUUGGUAGGGUAAUGGCCUACCAAGGCAACGAUCAGUAGCUGGUCUGAGAGGAUGAUCAGCCACACUGGAACUGAGACACGGUCCAGACUCCUACGGGAGGCAGCAGUGAGGAAUAUUGGGCAAUGCCCGCAAGGGUGACCCAGCAACGCCGCGUGGAGGAUGAAGGCCGUAAGGUUGUAAACUCCUGUUAGAGGAGAAGAACAGUACCGAUUGGAUCGGUAUUUGACUGUACCCUCAGAGAAAGCCCCGGCUAACUACGUGCCAG